This is a long non-coding RNA of Limanda limanda (common dab), 853 nucleotides long. RefSeq lists it as uncharacterized. The transcript is spliced from 2 exons. The record is from RefSeq and is a predicted model, not a curated record. Lineage: Eukaryota; Metazoa; Chordata; Actinopteri; Pleuronectiformes; Pleuronectidae.
UCCACAGGGAGAAGAUCCUGGGAUCUAUGUUCCAGGAUUUGAUGGUCAGUUAACAGACGUCCAGAUGUGGGAUUAUCCUCUAAGCUACAGAGAAAUCAUCCAAUACAUGAGGCCGGGCACCUACGGGCCGUCCCGUGGCUCUGUCCUCACUUGGUCCCACAUCAGCUACUCUCUCAGUGGAAACGCGCUGUUGGAGGACACGUACGAGAAGCAGGAGCAACAGCCAAUCAGCAAGAGGGGGAGGGGGCGUGGACUGAGGGGAGAGAAGAAGAGCAGGAUGGUUUUUUGAGUGGAGGAGAGUAAGAAAAGAGAGGGAGAGCUUCAGUGAAUCACACAAGCAGAUGGAGAGCAAGCUGCAUCCUCUGUUCCUCAUUUCAUCCUCCAAUAAUAACUCAGAAUGAAUCAAUAAUCAGCAUUUAUCCAAAUCAAAUCAAACGAUUUGAUACGAUUAUAUUUACACAUAAACAGUGCUGACUAGUCUCAGUUAUACCCUGGAUUCUACAUAUUCAGUUAAUUUUUGCUAACACUUUUGAUUUUUGUGACUUCUCCUUAAGUGAGGAACAUGUGACAUUUUAGGGAACUGAUAUCCUCGAGUAUAUGGGACAUAUUUAGGGAACUGACAUCCACGAGUGUGUGAAAGGUGCUGCAGCUAAACUGGAUUCAAGGGAUCAGAUGUUUGCCCUCGGCUGAGCGACAUCGUGCCACUGCCGUGUGGAUGAACUCCACUCAGCAUCGAGAGGAUUCAAACAAUGUUCAAGUUCCAAAUCAAGUUAACACAAGACUGUGGUUGACAUCUUUGCAUUUGAUUAAAAAACAUGUGAGCGUCAAUAAAGAUCGACUUCAUCAACACGUC